This 77-nucleotide transfer RNA is filed under the name Chloroflexota bacterium. RNAcentral's name for it is "tRNA-Pro". It matches the Rfam family "tRNA". From Rfam's summary of the family: Transfer RNA (tRNA) molecules are approximately 80 nucleotides in length. Their secondary structure includes four short double-helical elements and three loops (D, anti-codon, and T loops). RNAcentral also lists the same sequence under 2 other names. The record is from RNAcentral. Lineage: Bacteria; Bacillati; Chloroflexota.
CGGGGCGUGGCGUAGCUUGGUAGCGCACUGGUAUGGGGUACCAGAGGUCGUUGGUUCAAAUCCAAUCGCCCCGACCA